UGACCUCGGAUCAGGUAGGAAUACCCGUCCCUGAACUUAAGCAUAUCAAUAAGCGGAGGA
This 60-nucleotide ribosomal RNA is filed under the name Fusarium avenaceum. RNAcentral's name for it is "partial 28S ribosomal RNA". Lineage: Eukaryota; Fungi; Ascomycota; Sordariomycetes; Hypocreales; Nectriaceae. The record is from RNAcentral.